Non-coding RNA from Thamnophis sirtalis, 567 nucleotides. The record is from RefSeq and is a predicted model, not a curated record. Lineage: Eukaryota; Metazoa; Chordata; Lepidosauria; Squamata; Natricidae.
UGGAUGGAUGGAUGGAUAUUGAGGAUUAGAGGCAGCAUGUGUCCUCAAAUACCAAUUGCAAAGAGACAAGAGCAUAAACUGUUAAAGUGUUCCUCUCUUGCCUUUGGCUUAACCAUAGCGAUCUGGCUGAUAAUUAUAGAAAGUCAGUUAAUAAUAGACUCCUUCCAGUAUUGACCUUUGGUCUGAAACUAAGAGGCUUUUCUUCUGUUCUGAUCCCAUGGAUUUCAGCAGAUCCAGCCUCUUCAGCUAUACUAAAAUUAGAUUUAGUUUAUUAACAGAUAUUAUACACAGUUCAACCAAUAGUAGUUAUAUUUUCUACACCAUGUUUUUUUCCCCUUCUGGAAUUUUGAAUGCCUGUUUUAAAAUUAGCCUUUGAAAUUACAUUUCUUUAUGUUUCUUUUAGAUAGAUUAUGAAAAAUUGAUCCAGUUAUUAACACUCCAGGCAUCAAGCAAAAUGCAACAUACCCUUCCUGAGAAGAAUGAAAAUAAAAAGAAUCCAAGCUCUUGGACAUCAGAAAAUACAUUUCUGGCACUGAAGCAGAUACUAAAAGAAUACAAUGGAGAGUU